AAAAAAAUUGCCUUGGAGAAAUUGUUUUUCAGUGGCUUUAGCAGCUGCUGCAGCGGUCCCCAGAGUUGCUGUUCUGAUAUACAAGGCAGUGUUUUCCCAGGAUGACCGGAUCCAAGGCCAAGUGAUUCACUGAGGUGCCCUGGCCCAGAAACCCAUAACGGUCAAUAUUUAUGUGGAUGUCAUCUGGAUCCUUACCUUUCCCUAAGGACUGCUUUUCUCUAGGGCUCUAAUAUGAAAACCAAAUUUCAGUUAAAACUCUGAUACUUCUUUCCUCCUUCAAUGUGUACCAAGGAUGAGGCUCAGGUAGGAAAUUUAUAGGGGGACCAAUAAACUCAGUCAUGAAGAUAA
Long non-coding RNA from Suricata suricatta (meerkat), 348 nucleotides. RefSeq lists it as uncharacterized. NCBI's taxonomy places the organism in Eukaryota, Metazoa, Chordata, Mammalia, Carnivora, Herpestidae. The record is from RefSeq and is a predicted model, not a curated record. The transcript has 3 exons.